This 314-nucleotide long non-coding RNA is filed under the name Elaeis guineensis (African oil palm). RNAcentral describes it as "long non-coding RNA (EGUI_LNC041979)". The record is from RNAcentral. Lineage: Eukaryota; Viridiplantae; Streptophyta; Magnoliopsida; Arecales; Arecaceae.
CACUCGAGUUCAACUGUGAAUUUCGUGUAAACUCUCUUUCAGUAUUCACACUUGCUUCAUUCAAAGACUUUCUGAACUCAGUCUUCCUAAUCGUAUAGGACUACUCCUUUUCUAUCAAGAUCGAUAGAUUUCAUCUAGGUACAUCCUACUCUAGUAGCGAAUCUGAACCUACUAUAAUCAACAUACACAGCAAGGAUCUGAAUAGCUAGGGACCAAGAGAAUGUACAGUCAAAACUAGUAGUCUCACUACGAAUAGCCAAUACAUCACAAGUCAAAGGACCACUCACUCCACUACAGCAUCGAGAAGACCACUG